Molecule: ribosomal RNA, 301 nt
Filed under: uncultured bacterium
Lineage: Bacteria
Description: partial 16S ribosomal RNA
Rfam family: Bacterial small subunit ribosomal RNA
Source: RNAcentral
CAGCCGCCGCGGUAAUACCGAGGGUGCGAGCGUUAAUCGGAUUUACUGGGCGUAAAGCGUGCGUAGGCGGCUUCUUAAGUCGGAUGUGAAAUCCCUGAGCUUAACUUAGGAAUUGCAUUCGAUACUGGGAAGCUAGAGUAUGGGAGAGGAUGGUAGAAUUCCAGGUGUAGCGGUGAAAUGCGUAGAGAUCUGGAGGAAUACCGAUGGCGAAGGCAGCCAUCUGGCCUAAUACUGACGCUGAGGUACGAAAGCAUGGGGAGCAAACAGGAUUAGAUACCCCCGUAGUCCCUGUCUCUUUACA